AGAGUUUGAUCCUGGCUCAGGACGAACGCUGGCGGCGUGCUUAACACAUGCAAGUCGAACGGAACUUAUAGUUCAGUGGCAAACGGGUGAGUAACGCGUAGGUAAUCUGCCGCAAAGAUGGGGACAACAGUUCGAAAGGACUGCUAAUACCGAAUGUUGUAUGAAAUUCGCAUGGGUUUCAUACUAAAGAUUUAUCGCUUUGCGAGGAGCCUGCGUCCGAUUAGGUAGUUGGUAGGGUAAGAGCGUACCAAGCCGACGAUCGGUAACCGGUCUGAGAGGAUGAACGGUCACAUUGGAACUGAGACACGGUCCAGACUCCUACGGGAGGCAGCAGUGGGGAAUAUUCCACAAUGGGGGGAACCCUGAUGGAGCGACGCCGCGUGAGUGAAGAAGGGCUUCGGCUCGUAAAGCUCUUUUCUCGUUGACGAAAUGACGGAAGUAGAUGACGGUAGACGGGGAAUAAGCCACGGCUAACUACGUGCCAGCAGCCGCGGUAAUACGUAGGUGGCAAGCGUUGUCCGGAAUUAUUGGGCGUAAAGGGAGCGCAGGCGGAAAUUUAAGUCGUACUUAAAAGUGCAGCAGUAAUAGUUGUGAUGGGUACGAAACUGGAUAUCUUGAGAGCAGGAGAGGCAAGCGGAAUUCCCAGUGUAGCGGUGAAAUGCGUAGAUAUUGGGAGGAACACCAGUGGCGAAGGCGGCUUGCUGGACUGCAUCUGACGCUGAGGCUCGAAAGCUAGGGUAGCGAACGGGAUUAGAUACCCCGGUAGUCCUAGCUGUAAACGAUGAGUGCUAGGUGUGGGAGGUAUCGACUCCUCCCGUGCCGGAGUCAACGCAAUAAGCACUCCGCCUGGGGAGUACGGUCGCAAGACUGAAACUCAAAGGAAUUGACGGGGGCCCGCACAAGCGGUGGAGUAUGUGGUUUAAUUCGACGCAACGCGAAGAACCUUACCAAGCCUUGACAUUGAUUGACAGGUUAUGAAAGUAACUAUUCUCUUAGGAGACAAGAAAACAGGUGGUGCAUGGCUGUCGUCAGCUCGUGUCGUGAGAUGUUGGGUUAAGUCCCGCAACGAGCGCAACCCCUACACUGUGUUGCCAGCGAGUAAGGUCGGGGACUCACAGAGGACAGCCCGAGAUAAUCGGGAGGAAGGCGGGGAUGACGUCAAGUCAUCAUGCCCCAUAUGGCUUGGGCUACACACGUACUACAAUGGGACGGAACAGAGGGAAGCGAAGUCGUGAGGCAGAGCAAAACCGAAAAAACGUACCCCAGUUCGGAUUGUAGGCUGAAACUCGCCUACAUGAAGUCGGAAUCGCUAGUAAUCGCAGGUCAGCAUACUGCGGUGAAUACGUUCCACGGGCCUUGUACACACCGCCCGUCACACCACGGAAGUCGAUCACACCCGAAGUCUGGAAACAGCCUAAGGCGGGGUCGGUGACUGGGGUGAAGUCGUAACAAGGUAACC
Molecule: ribosomal RNA, 1459 nt
Filed under: uncultured rumen bacterium
Lineage: Bacteria
Description: bacterial SSU rRNA
Rfam family: Bacterial small subunit ribosomal RNA
Source: RNAcentral